UGUAACAGCAACUCCAUGUGGAAGUAGAUAUAAUAUUCCGGUGGAGAUGCUGUUAUCUG
This 59-nucleotide microRNA precursor is filed under the name Xenopus laevis (African clawed frog). RNAcentral describes it as "microRNA xla-mir-194 precursor (xla-mir-194-2)". Its record names the gene xla-mir-194-2. It matches the Rfam family "mir-194 microRNA precursor family", at positions 14 to 72 of the family's 82-position model. From Rfam's summary of the family: The hairpin precursors (represented here) are predicted based on base pairing and cross-species conservation -- their extents are not known. In this case the mature sequence is excised from the 5' arm of the hairpin. Lineage: Eukaryota; Metazoa; Chordata; Amphibia; Anura; Pipidae. RNAcentral also lists the same sequence under 1 other name. The record is from miRBase by way of RNAcentral.